GACGGGGCUUAUAUGAGCACUUCCUCGGGAUUGGGAUAAUCAGUGCACUUUUUCAGGAAGUGAACCCAGGAUCCUUUGGUGAGUGGCCCAGUGCUUUAACCACUGAGUACACGGACAGAGCAAGCUCAUCUCCUUUUGACAACGUUCCUUCCUGGCCUGGCCUCGGGUCUCUGCCCUUUACGGAUAGCAGCCCAAGACCCAGGUGGCCUGUGAUUGUGCCUUUCAUGACACUCUCCAGUUUGAGUCCCUGGCUCCUAUGCCCAGAUGAUGGGCUCAGAAAUAAGAAAGGAGAAUUGAUUCAAAAGCAAGAUCUUACUGUUGAUAUGGAAUCCCAAGAAAAGUUACCUGGCCCAGCCAACGGGGAGGGUCCUGAAUGUGGAGACACCCGAGAACCAGAAGGAUGGACAGAAAGACAUCAUAGAAAUGCUUUAAGUGAGAGAAGGUGUAAGUGUGAUGGACAUGAGAAAAGAUUCACUCGGAACUCAAGCCUCAUUAGACAAAAGAGAAUUCACACUGGAGAGAGACACUGUUCAUGUAAUGUCUGUGGCAACUUUAAUUCAGAAGUUCACAAUGUAUUGACCAUCAGAGAAUACAUAGCCUGUUUUAUAGGUUAAAACUAUCAGUGUGAGGAGUGCAGAAAGCCUUUAUCACAAUUCACACCUUGUUCAGCAUCCAUGGACCUGCACUGGUGAAAUGCCUCUCCAGAAUGAUGAGUGUGAAAUGCCUCUCCAGAAUGAAAGCUUUUCAUGGCAGCCUCGUCUGGCACCAGAGGACCUGCACAGCGAUCAGGGCACACCAGAACAUCGCCUGGGGGAAAUGCUUCAGCCUGAGCUCAGGCCCUAUGGGUGUGAGGAGGGUGGGAAAACCUUCGGUGACAGCUCACCUCUGGGACCCAGAGGAAUCCACACGGGAGAGGAGCCCUGGUGACCCGUGUGUGGAGCUCCUCCUGCCACUCGUUCCCGAGGACACCAAGAUGCACGCUGGAGAGGGUAUUGCCCUAACGGUGCUGGGCUCUGCACUCCCUGCCACUCAUUCCAGAGUCACGUGAACAGAGCUUCCCAGCAGCAUAGGCUGCUCUGCCCACGGAGCACAUCACCGGCUGAGCUGGGGUGCUGGAUGGGCCCAUUUUGUUGUCAGACUCUCCUCAAAAGUAAGUUGCUCAGGAAAUCUUGGUGUUUUCAUUCCUCUUCCCCUCUCUCCUCCCUAUUUUCUGAACUACUUUGAAAAAAAAACAAAAAAAGCCAACACCUGAAUAUUUGGUUAACUUGAUCAAAUACAUUAACCUAUCAAUCAUCUGCACUAACAACAUGGUGAAACACAAAAACUAUUUUGUGAUACACAUAGUAUGGAUUAUGCUCUGCAGGGCCGGAACGGGUCAAGGCUGGAUGAUCUAUUAACCUGCUGAUCCACAGGGACCUUUCACAUCUUUAACCAGAGGGGGCAGACAAGGCCCACAUAGUUCUUGUUCUUAGUUUUUUUGUAAUAUGAAAUUAUAGCAACUCUUUAAGAGUCGUCAUAUUUCACAUAGAAUCUGACUUUCCAGAUUUUCUUAUAAAAAUAUUGUGUACCGUUUUUGUAUGUUAACAUUUGUAUUCUAUAAAUGCCUACUUAAAUCCUUUGCCGA
Long non-coding RNA from Eptesicus fuscus (big brown bat), 1624 nucleotides. RefSeq lists it as uncharacterized. NCBI's taxonomy places the organism in Eukaryota, Metazoa, Chordata, Mammalia, Chiroptera, Vespertilionidae. The record is from RefSeq and is a predicted model, not a curated record. The transcript is spliced from 3 exons.